Molecule: ribosomal RNA, 180 nt
Filed under: uncultured bacterium
Lineage: Bacteria
Description: partial 16S ribosomal RNA
Rfam family: Bacterial small subunit ribosomal RNA
Source: RNAcentral
CCAGACUCCUACGGGAGGCAGCAGUGAGGAAUAUUGGUCAAUGGGCGAGAGCCUGAACCAGCCAAGUAGCGUGCAGGAUGACGGCCCUAUGGGUUGUAAACUGCUUUUAUAAGGGAAUAAAGUGAGUCUCGUGAGACUUUUUGCAUGUACCUUAUGAAUAAGGACCGGCUAAUUCCGUGC